RNAcentral lists this ribosomal RNA (470 nucleotides) under Veillonella parvula. RNAcentral describes it as "bacterial SSU rRNA". It matches the Rfam family "Bacterial small subunit ribosomal RNA", at positions 28 to 478 of the family's 1533-position model. The record is from RNAcentral. Lineage: Bacteria; Bacillati; Bacillota; Negativicutes; Veillonellales; Veillonellaceae.
GACGAACGCUGGCGGCGUGCUUAACACAUGCAAGUCGAACGAAGAGCGAUGGAAGCUUGCUUCUAUCAAUCUUAGUGGCGAACGGGUGAGUAACGCGUAAUCAACCUGCCCUUCAGGGGGGGACAACAGUUGGAAACGACUGCUAAUACCGCAUACGAUCUAAUCUCGGCAUCGAGGAUAGAUGAAAGGUGGCCUCUACAUGUAAGCUAUCACUGAAGGAGGGGAUUGCGUCUGAUUAGCUAGUUGGAGGGGUAACGGCCCACCAAGGCGAUGAUCAGUAGCCGGUCUGAGAGGAUGAACGGCCACAUUGGGACUGAGACACGGCCCAGACUCCUACGGGAGGCAGCAGUGGGGAAUCUUCCGCAAUGGACGAAAGUCUGACGGAGCAACGCCGCGUGAGUGAUGACGGGCCCUUCGGGUUUGUAAAAGCUUCUUGUAAAUUCGGGAACGAAAAGGCCCUUCCUUGCGAA